RNAcentral lists this ribosomal RNA (253 nucleotides) under uncultured bacterium. RNAcentral's name for it is "partial 16S ribosomal RNA". It matches the Rfam family "Bacterial small subunit ribosomal RNA", at positions 524 to 776 of the family's 1533-position model. The record is from RNAcentral.
UACGUAGGGGGCAAGCGUUGUCCGGAUUUACUGGGCGUAAAGGGCUCGUAGGCGGCCAACUAAGUCAGACGUGAAAUCCCUCGGCUUAACCGGGGAACUGCAUCUGAUACUGGAUGGCUUGAGUUCGGGAGAGGGAUGCGGAAUUCCAGGUGUAGCGGUGAAAUGCGUAGAUAUCGGGAGGAACACCAGUGGCGAAGGCGGCUUUCUGGUCUGUUCUUGACGCUGAGGCGCGAAAGCUAGGGUAGCAAACGGG